Molecule: ribosomal RNA, 331 nt
Filed under: uncultured eukaryote
Lineage: Eukaryota
Description: partial 18S ribosomal RNA
Rfam family: Eukaryotic small subunit ribosomal RNA
Source: RNAcentral
CCCUUAGAUGUUCUGGGCCGCACGCGCGCUACACUGACGAAGUCAGCGAGCAUGUCCUACGCCGACAGGUGCGGGGAAUCUUGUCAAACUUCGUAGUGAUGGGGAUUGAUUAUUGAAAUUCUUGAUCAUCAACGAGGAAUUCCUAGUAAGCGCAAGUCAGCAGCUUGCGUUGAUUACGUCCCUGCCCUUUGUACACACCGCCCGUCGCUACUACCGAUUGAAUGGUUUAGUGAGAUCUUCGGAUUGGCGCCACUGCGGCUCAGCAAUGGGCUCGGUGGAUGCCGAAAAGUUGAUCAAACUUGAUCAUUUAGAGGAAGUAAAAGUCGUAACA